UUAAGGGGGCAGGGACCACUAUUAAAGGAGCAACUGCUGUGGAGGUCACUGUUAAGGCAGCGGGGUACUGUGGAGGUCACUGUUAAGGGGCGGUCCCCUGAGGAGGUUACUGUCAAGGGAGUAGGGUGCUGUGGAGUUCACUGUUAAAGGG
This is a long non-coding RNA of Bufo bufo (common toad), 151 nucleotides long. RefSeq lists it as uncharacterized. The transcript has 3 exons. NCBI's taxonomy places the organism in Eukaryota, Metazoa, Chordata, Amphibia, Anura, Bufonidae. The record is from RefSeq and is a predicted model, not a curated record.